RNAcentral lists this ribosomal RNA (270 nucleotides) under uncultured bacterium. RNAcentral describes it as "partial 16S ribosomal RNA". It matches the Rfam family "Bacterial small subunit ribosomal RNA", at positions 337 to 604 of the family's 1533-position model. The record is from RNAcentral.
GCCUACGGGGGGCAGCAGUGAGGAAUAUUGGUCAAUGGGCGCGAGCCUGAACCAGCCAAGUCGCGUGAGGGAAGACGGUCCUAUGGAUUGUAAACCUCUUUUGUCGGAGAGCAAAAGACGCCACGCGUGGCGUUCCGAGAGUACCCGAAGAAAAAGCAUCGGCUAACUCCGUGCCAGCAGCCGCGGUAAUACGGAGGAUGAGAGCGUUAUCAGGAUAUAUUGGGUUUAAAGGGUGCGCAGGCGGAAGAUCAAGACAGCGGUAAAAUUGAG